Molecule: ribosomal RNA, 253 nt
Filed under: uncultured bacterium
Lineage: Bacteria
Description: partial 16S ribosomal RNA
Rfam family: Bacterial small subunit ribosomal RNA
Source: RNAcentral
UACGUAGGGGGCAAGCGUUGUCCGGAAUCAUUGGGCGUAAAGAGCGUGUAGGCGGCCCGAUAAGUCCGCCGUGAAAGUCCAGGGCUCAACCCUGGAAUGCCGGUGGAAACUGUCGGGCUGGAGUCCGGAAGAGGAGAGUGGAAUUCCUGGUGUAGCGGUGAAAUGCGCAGAUAUCAGGAAGAACACCUAUGGCGAAAGCAGCUCUCUGGGACGGUACUGACGCUGAGACGCGAAAGCGUGGGGAGCGAACAGG